This 256-nucleotide unclassified non-coding RNA is filed under the name Hevea brasiliensis (rubber tree). Lineage: Eukaryota; Viridiplantae; Streptophyta; Magnoliopsida; Malpighiales; Euphorbiaceae. The record is from RNAcentral.
AAUUGAUUUCAAACAAAGCUGAAUGGCGAAAAAGAAUGCAUAUAACUGAUCUCAUUAUCUCAACUAGUUUGAGCUUUUAAGAUUUAGUUGUUGUUGUCUGCUUGUAUCAGUCGCAAAAGUAUUAACUGCAGAAUAUUUUAUGCUUGGUGAUUUUUCAGCUUUGGCACUGCUUUUGAUUGAGAUAGAACACAUUAUGUCACAUUAUUUCCGUGUCUCCUUCCCGAGGUGCCCCCUCUCCCCGCCCUCACUCAAACAA